AUUGAACGCUGGCGGCAGGCUUAACACAUGCAAGUCGAGCGGGGUGAUGGUGCUUGCACUAUCACUUAGCGGCGGACGGGUGAGUAAUGCUUAGGAAUCUGCCUAUUAGUGGGGGACAACAUCUCGAAAGGGAUGCUAAUACCGCAUACGUCCUACGGGAGAAAGCAGGGGAUCACUUGUGACCUUGCGCUACUAGGUGAGCCUAAGUCGGAUUAGCUAGUUGGUGGGGUAAAGGCCUACCAAGGCGACGAUCUGUAGCGGGUCUGAGAGGAUGAUCCGCCACACUGGGACUGAGACACGGCCCAGACUCCUACGGGAGGCAGCAGUGGGAAUAUUGGACAAUGGGGGGAACCCUGAUCCAGCCAUGCCGCGUGUGUGAAGAAGGCCUUAUGGUUGUAAAGCACUUUAAGCGAGGAGGAGGCUCUUUUGGUUAAUACCCAAGAUGAGUGGACGUUACUCGCAGAAUAAGCACCGGCUAACUCUGUGCCAGCCGCCGCAGUAA
RNAcentral lists this ribosomal RNA (502 nucleotides) under uncultured bacterium. RNAcentral describes it as "partial 16S ribosomal RNA". It matches the Rfam family "Bacterial small subunit ribosomal RNA", at positions 30 to 523 of the family's 1533-position model. The record is from RNAcentral.